GUGAGACAGUGGGGGAUAAGCUUCAUUGUCGAAAGGGAAACAGCCCAGAUCAGCAGCUAAGGUGCCUAAAGUACGCUAAGUGGAAAGGAGGUAGAGUCUCAUAGACAGUGAGGAUGUUGGCUUAGAAGCAGCCACCAUUUAAAAAAAGCGUAACAGCUUACUCAUCGAGAGACUCUGCGCCGAAAAUGAUUGGCGAUAAGCGUGCUACCGAAGCUCUGGAUGUCAUCCAUUAGGAUGGCGUGGUAGGAGAGCGUUCCCAGUGCAGCGAAGGGUGAUGGCGACUGACCCUGGAGCGCUGGGAAGUGAGUAUGCAGACAUGAGUAACGAUAAGACCGGUGAAAUCCCGGUCCGCCGUAAACCCAAGGUUUCCCGGGCAACGUUUUUCGUCCCGGGGUUAGUCGGGACCUAAGCCGAGGCCGAUAGGCGUAGGCGAUGGAAAGCAGGUCAAUAUUCCUGCACCUCCGACCCUUAAACUGGGGGGACGCGGUUAGAAAAGUGACUAGGUUAUUGAAUUCCGAGAUGCGGCUACGGCCAAUUCGUAUCACCAGACUAAUUGCCAAGAAAAGCCCCAGCAUAUGCUAAGGAGCCCGUACCGUAAACCGACACAGGUGGGUGGGUAGAGUAUACCAAGGCGCAAGAGUGAAACCCAGUCAAGGAACUCGGCAAAAUGCUUCCGUAACUUCGGGAUAAGGAGUGCCCCUGCGUUUUCGGACGUUGGGGGCCGCAGUGAAAUGGCCCAACCGACUGUUUAGCAAAAACACAGCAUUGUGCUAAGACGAAAGUCGACGUAUACGAUGUGACACGUGACCAAUGCCAAAAGAUUACGAUGAGAUGUUAGCCCUUUAUUGAGGCGAAGCUUCGAGUCCAAGUCCUGGUGAAUGUCGGCCGUAACUAUAACGGUCCUAAGGUAGCGAAAUUCCUUGUCGGGUAAGUUCCGACCUGCACGAAUCGUGUAACGAUCCAGACACUGUCUCAACGUGGAUCUCGGUGAAAUUGUAGUUCCGGUGAAAAUGCCGGAUACCCGCAGAUGGACGGAAAGACCCCAUGAACCUUUACUGUAAUCUGAUAUUGUUGUUCGGGCUAAUAUGUGUAGCAUAAGUGGGAGACUGUGAACUUGCGUCGUCAGGCGUUUGUGAGUCGUCAGUGAAAUACCACCCUUAUUAGUCUGGGCAUCUAACCGUAUG
This 1184-nucleotide ribosomal RNA is filed under the name marine metagenome. RNAcentral describes it as "bacterial LSU rRNA". It matches the Rfam family "Bacterial large subunit ribosomal RNA", at positions 983 to 2232 of the family's 2925-position model. The record is from RNAcentral.